GACGAACGCUGGCGGCGUGCCUAAUACAUGCAAGUAGGACGCUGAAGGAGGAGCUUGCUUCUCUGGAUGAGUUGCGAACGGGUGAGUAACGCGUAGGUAACCUGCCUGGUAGCGGGGGAUAACUAUUGGAAACGAUAGCUAAUACCGCAUAAUAGUAGAUGUUGCAUGACAUUUGCUUAAAAGGUGCAAUUGCAUCACUACCAGAUGGACCUGCGUUGUAUUAGCUAGUUGGUGGGGUAACGGCUCACCAAGGCGACGAUACAUAGCCGACCUGAGAGGGUGAUCGGCCACACUGGGACUGUGACACGGCCCAGACUCCUACGGGAGGCAGCAGUAGGGAAUCUUCGGCAAUGGACGGAAGUCUGACCGAGCAACGCCGCGUGAGUGAAGAAGGUUUUCGGAUCGUAAAGCUCUGUUGUAAGAGAAGAACGAGUGUGAGAGUGGAAAGUUCACACUGUGACGGUAUCUUACCAGAAAGGGACGGCUAACUACGUG
This 495-nucleotide ribosomal RNA is filed under the name uncultured bacterium. RNAcentral describes it as "partial 16S ribosomal RNA". It matches the Rfam family "Bacterial small subunit ribosomal RNA", at positions 28 to 507 of the family's 1533-position model. The record is from RNAcentral.